Molecule: long non-coding RNA, 1412 nt
Organism: Asparagus officinalis (garden asparagus)
Lineage: Eukaryota; Viridiplantae; Streptophyta; Magnoliopsida; Asparagales; Asparagaceae
Exons: 2
Source: RefSeq, a predicted model, not a curated record
UUAACGAGCCCCCCUAUAUAGUAAUAGCCCCAGAUCAGAAUUUUCAAGGGAGAAGCCUGGAAAAGUAUGAGAGAAUCAGAAAAUCUAUCAAAGUUUUUAUUGCUUUCUGAUAUUCUCAUAUUAGAAAGAUUAUGACAUGAGAUGAUUAAAGAUGCUUGGACUCACAACCCGGUAAAAUGUUAACUGUUAUGGCCUAAUUUGAAUUCACACAGAUUAGUCUAAUCCAUCUCGACAUGGACUAACUUGACUAGCUCAUAGCCUCGUAAUCCCAAACUGUACAGUUUUAAGAUUCUCCACGAAAUAAAAUAUUAACAUGUCCAAACAAAGAAAAUGUAGAAGUACUAGAAACAUGAGCAUGAUCAACUAAUAAUAGGAGACAAAUGACCUGCCAAAGUAAAAAAAUUCUAGCAAAGCAAAAUGAAUUGGCAAUCAACCGAUAAGUCAUUAACUUGAGCAAACGCUUAGUCUGAGUAGUUUGGUAACCUUAGAACCUUUAACGUUAUUUCUCUGAUAAUCUAGAAAAUACUAUUGCUUAGGUCUUUGGAGCACGGUUUUGAAAGAGAACCAAAUUUGGAAGAGUGAGCAUGUACUCCAAUAAACUUGAAUUUCUAUUACAGAGUGAGCCUCUACAAGAAACCUAUAUUUCUAGUCAAGGUACAUACAUUUUGAUUACAAUAACUAAGAGAAUGUUGCAUCCUAAAUAAAUUAUCGCUAGAAAUAAAAAAACCAUUUUCAGAAUAACAUCUAAAAGAUUCAUAAACACCCUACUGCAGCUAUGUCGUAUAAGUCCAUGACAAUAACAAAAUUAGUCAUAAUAAUAAAAUAAGAAAAUUCAGUUAACUCCAAGUUGGCCGCCAAAAUUCAUGUAGGGAGUCCUGCUAAAGUAGCCGAGAAUAGUUUCCACAAAACUUCCGUAGAACUUUCCAAUAUUUGUACACUAUAGUCACCUCAAAUUAAGCAAUCUAAAACCUCUUCAACCUCAAUCUUAACUCUCUCCUUCAGAACACUAUUUAUCACCAGCCCCCAUCCAUCAAAAACCCCUCUCCUCCCUUUCGACAAUCGACAAAAUACCUCAACUAUCACGUUCCACUCCCUAUCCCCACAAAACCCCUCGACAAACUUCCUCAUGCUCCCCUCCCCGGGCUCAUACCCAUUAAACACCGUCUCGCCAAAACUAACCUCGCUUGUUUAAAUUCCUUGGCAGCACACAACCCCUCACAAAUCAUUUUGUAACUCAGCACAUCAGGUCUACACUCUUAUCAGCAUUUCGUCAAACACUAUUGGCUUUCCUUUUCAGGUUCUCGUUUUAUUAAGGCUUGGUGCAGGGAUACUGGACAGCGAGAAGGUAUGUAUGAGCUUGGGUAGUCUAUAAAUUUCCAAAGAAAUUUAGCAUAAUAUCUUUUAGUUUUCUC